UACGUAGGGUGCGAGCGUUAAUCGGAAUUACUGGGCGUAAAGCGUGCGCAGGCGGCUUUGCAAGUCAGAUGUGAAAUCCCCGGGCUCAACCUGGGAACUGCAUUUGUGACUGCAAGGCUAGAGUACGGCAGAGGGGGAUGGAAUUCCGCGUGUAGCAGUGAAAUGCGUAGAUAUGCGGAGGAACACCGAUGGCGAAGGCAAUCCCCUGGGCCUGUACUGACGCUCAUGCACGAAAGCGUGGGGAGCGAACAGG
RNAcentral lists this ribosomal RNA (253 nucleotides) under uncultured bacterium. Its description in RNAcentral is "partial 16S ribosomal RNA". It matches the Rfam family "Bacterial small subunit ribosomal RNA", at positions 524 to 776 of the family's 1533-position model. The record is from RNAcentral.